RNAcentral lists this ribosomal RNA (253 nucleotides) under uncultured bacterium. RNAcentral describes it as "partial 16S ribosomal RNA". It matches the Rfam family "Bacterial small subunit ribosomal RNA", at positions 524 to 776 of the family's 1533-position model. The record is from RNAcentral.
UACGGAGGGUGCGAGCGUUAAUCGGAAUUACUGGGCGUAAAGCGUGCGUAGGUGGCCCGUUAAGUCAGAUGUGAAAGCCCUGGGCUCAACCUGGGAACGGCAUUUGAAACUGGCGGGCUAGAGUUGGGUAGAGGGGAGCGGAAUUUCAGGUGUAGCGGUGAAAUGCGUAGAUAUCUGAAGGAACACCAGUGGCGAAGGCGGCUCCCUGGACCCAAACUGACGCUGAGGUACGAAAGCGUGGGUAGCAAACAGG